This 227-nucleotide unclassified non-coding RNA is filed under the name Hevea brasiliensis (rubber tree). The record is from RNAcentral. Lineage: Eukaryota; Viridiplantae; Streptophyta; Magnoliopsida; Malpighiales; Euphorbiaceae.
UGUCAUACGUUGAGUAGUUCAAUCGUAGCUGUUAAAGGAGCACCUCAGGCAUGGCGACCUAGGCUCCUGGCUCAACGCCUUAAAGCUCUCGAGGCGGGAGAUCUUCCUGAGGUGAGCCCAGGUGGCCGAGGCACACCAAGGUGCAAGGCGUGCCCUAGGCGCGCCUAAACCACACCAAGCCUAGAAAUUUCAUUUUCUUUGGACCAUCGGGCAAAAAAAUAAAAGAA